GGUCGGUUAGCUCAGCUGGUUUGAGCGUGGCGCUAAUAACGCCAAGGUUGUGAGUUCAAUCCCUACACAGGCCA
Hemiscyllium ocellatum (epaulette shark) is the source of this 74-nucleotide non-coding RNA. The record is from the annotation of a RefSeq genome assembly. Lineage: Eukaryota; Metazoa; Chordata; Chondrichthyes; Orectolobiformes; Hemiscylliidae.